GACGAACGCUGGCGGCGUGCCUAAUACAUGCAAGUAGAACGCUGAAGAGAGGAGCUUGCUCUUCUUGGAUGAGUUGCGAACGGGUGAGUAACGCGUAGGUAACCUGCCUUGUAGCGGGGGAUAACUAUUGGAAACGAUAGCUAAUACCGCAUAACAAUGGAUGACACAUGUCAUUUAUUUGAAAGGGGCAAUUGCUCCACUACAAGAUGGACCUGCGUUGUAUUAGCUAGUAGGUGAGGUAACGGCUCACCUAGGCGACGAUACAUAGCCGACCUGAGAGGGUGAUCGGCCACACUGGGACUGAGACACGGCCCAGACUCCUACGGGAGGCAGCAGUAGGGAAUCUUCGGCAAUGGGGGGCAACCCUGACCGAGCAACGCCGCGUGAGUGAAGAAGGUUUUCGGAUCGUAAAGCUCUGUUGUAAGUCAAGAACGAGUGUGAGAGUGGAAAGUUCACAACUGUGACGGUAGCUUACCAGAAAGGGACGGC
RNAcentral lists this ribosomal RNA (489 nucleotides) under uncultured bacterium. RNAcentral describes it as "bacterial SSU rRNA". It matches the Rfam family "Bacterial small subunit ribosomal RNA", at positions 28 to 497 of the family's 1533-position model. The record is from RNAcentral.